GCCACAGUCAGGCUCCGAGGUGCCCGCAUCAUGCGGGAGAAUUGGGAAGCCGGUGAAACUCCGGCGCUGCCCCCGCAACGGUAAGGAUGGGGGAUGCGGCACAAGGCCACUGGACGCGUGAACAGGUCCGGGAAGGCGCUGCAUCCGAUCCCGCCAAGCCCGGAAACCAGCCUUGGACAAACGUCAAGC
This 189-nucleotide non-coding RNA is filed under the name Roseovarius pacificus. Lineage: Bacteria; Pseudomonadati; Pseudomonadota; Alphaproteobacteria; Rhodobacterales; Roseobacteraceae. The record is from RNAcentral.